This 349-nucleotide long non-coding RNA is filed under the name Ictidomys tridecemlineatus (thirteen-lined ground squirrel). RNAcentral describes it as "lncRNA (ENSSTOG00000033376.1)". Lineage: Eukaryota; Metazoa; Chordata; Mammalia; Rodentia; Sciuridae. The record is from RNAcentral.
GGCCAUUGCUCAGGUCUGUCCCCAGCCCAGGCAGGAUCCAUGACUAGCUCUAAAAGAUACCUGGGACAGGAAAUACAAGCUGCGGGAGGCACUGCACCAAAAAAAUCUCACCAAGUAAAUUUCAUCAGAGCCUCUGCCUUCCACAAUGUGCCCAGAUGGAGACUCCCAUUCAAAUGGGACAGUCUGAUGACCCGGUGGGAUGGUACCCCAGUAGGAUGAGACCCGGAACAAACGCGAAGCAUCCUAUCUAGGGCAGGUGAAGCCUGAGUUGAUAACAAAGCCUGGAGCGACCUGGGACCGACCUGGGACCCAGCCCUCGGGGGCUCUCUGAGGAGAGGAAGGAAGGCGG